GUAGGGAAUAUUGGACAAUGGGGGGAACCCUGAUCCAGCCAUGCCGCGUGGAGGAAGACUGCCCUCUGGGUUGUAAACUCCUUUUAUAUGGGAAGAACCGUCCUCAUUAAUGAGUGACCUGACGGUACCAUAGGAAUAAGCACCGGCUAACUCCGUGCCAGCAGCCGCGGUAAUACGGAGGGUGCAAGCGUUAUCCGGAUUCACUGGGUUUAAAGGGUGCGUAGGCGGAUAAAUAAGUCAGUGGUGAAAUCAACUGGCUCAACCUGUUAACUGCCAUUGAUACUGUGUAUCUUGAAUAUGAGAGAGGUAGGCGGAAUGUUGCAUGUAGCGGUGAAAUGCUUAGAUAUGCUACGGAACACCGAUUGCGAAGGCAGCUUACUAUUUCGUAAUUGACGCUGAGGCACGAAAGCGUGGGUAGCGAACAGGAUUAGAAACCCUGGUAGUCC
RNAcentral lists this ribosomal RNA (446 nucleotides) under uncultured bacterium. Its description in RNAcentral is "partial 16S ribosomal RNA". It matches the Rfam family "Bacterial small subunit ribosomal RNA", at positions 354 to 796 of the family's 1533-position model. The record is from RNAcentral.